Molecule: ribosomal RNA, 893 nt
Filed under: uncultured bacterium
Lineage: Bacteria
Description: bacterial SSU rRNA
Rfam family: Bacterial small subunit ribosomal RNA
Source: RNAcentral
UGCGAGUAGAACGCUGAAGAGAGGAGCUUGCUUUUCUUGGAUGAGUUGCGAACGGGUGAGUAACGCGUAGGUAACCUGCCUUGUAGCGGGGGAUAACUAUUAGAAACGAUAGCUAAUACCGCAUAACAAUGGAUGACCCAUGUCAUUUAUUUGAAAGGGGCAAAUGCUCCACUACAAGAUGGACCUGCGUUGUAUUAGCUAGUAGGUGAGGUAACGGCUCACCUAGGCGACGAUACAUAGCCGACCUGAGAGGGUGAUCGGCCACACUGGGACUGAGACACGGCCCAGACUCCUACGGGAGGCAGCAGUAGGGAAUCUUCGGCAAUGGGGGCAACCCUGACCGAGCAACGCCGCGUGAGUGAAGAAGGUUUUCGGAUCGUAAAGCUCUGUUGUAAGUCAAGAACGAGUGUGAGAGUGGAAAGUUCACACUGUAACGGUAGCUUACCAGAAAGGGACGGCUAACUACGUGCCAGCAGCCGCGGUAAUACGUAGGUCCCGAGCGUUGUCCGGAUUUAUUGGGCGUAAAGCGAGCGCAGGCGGUUUGAUAAGUCUGAAGUUAAAGGCUGUGGCUCAACCAUAGUUCGCUUUGGAAACUGUCAAACUUGAGUGCAGAAGGGGAGAGUGGAAUUCCAUGUGUAGCGGUGAAAUGCGUAGAUAUAUGGAGGAACACCGGUGGCGAAAGCGGCUCUCUGGUCUGUAACUGACGCUGAGGCUCGAAAGCGUGGGGAGCGAACAGGAUUAGAUACCCUGGUAGUCCACGCCGUAAACGAUGAGUGCUAGGUGUUGGAUCCUUUCCGGGAUUCAGUGCCGCAGCUAACGCAUUAAGCACUCCGCCUGGGGAGUACGACCGCAAGGUUGAAACUCAAAGGAAUUGACGGGGGCCCGCACAAGCG